UUACCUGUAAUAAAACAGAGAAAAUGGUCGAAAUUGAUUUUAAAAAGUGUUUUGAAAAAUUACAGUAGUUUCAGGGCUUGUUAGAGAGAUAAUAGUUGAUUUUUCCAGAUUGUUUAUGUACAGAACUACAUUUCGAGUAUCGAAUGAAUAUUGUCUUGCCAAGUUACCAGUCAAGGAGGAUCUUAUCAUCAUAAUAGAUGAAUCAGGAACUAAGUGAUAAGAGAAGUGUAUGCUUGUUGCAACUGUAGCCAGAAAUCUGUAGUAUAUGUAAAGGUUAGAUGUUUAAAAUUUCUCUUGGUCUUUGAUAUCUUAGUGCCAACCCUAAGAUGAUACAAUUCUCUUUUAAUGCACGGCCUGAUUGUUACGGAGCUCGACUCACAAUCUGAGGGUCAUGAGUUUGAUUCCCCAUUACCGAACAUGCUCAUUCUGUGUGGUUGCCAUCUGGACCGUCCACCUGGGUGUAAAAAUUCUUGGCUUACAAGAUUACCAGCUGACUCCAAACUAUUGAGAUUAAGGUUUUUACGGAAAAAAGACAAAGAAUAAAAGAGCAGGAAAAGUAGACAGUGUUUUUUGUAAUAUCUGUGGAAAACAAUAUUCCUCAAAAAAGUCUUUAUCAGCACAUCGGCAUUAUCAACAUAGAAGUCAUCGCAACUUCUCAUGUCAGUAUUGUGGAAAGAUUUACACUAGAAGAACAACACUACAGUAUCACCUCCUCAUUCAUAAUUAGUCUUCAUAAUAUUUUUAUUAGUGGAAGCUACUUUUUGUUUUACUUAAGUACCACGUGAAGAUCUUAACUAAAAGAACAAUUUAAUUAUCAUUUCAUCAUUUAUAACUAACUUUAUGUUGUUGCAUAUGUAAUUUUACUCUCUUUAAGAGUUGAAAAUCAUCCUUACUGGAUGAGCAUCACUGAAAUACUAAUUCACAACCAAGUUUGUAUUGUUGACCAAUUUUUCUUUAUUAUUGAAAAGCUUUUAUUAAACAUUUUUAGUAUUAGAUGCUAAUCACUAUUCCUGAUUAAGUAUUGACAGCAGAUUCCCUGUUUUUGAGAACCUUGUAAAGGUAUAUUUCAAACUUAAACCUAUGCCUAGUAAAUGUAAUAAUAUUUCAUUAAUUUUAGUGUCAUUGCUUUUAAUUGACACUUCUUAUAUAUUGUUUAAAAAAUUUGAUAAAAACAUGGUUGUUAUUGUUAUAUUUGAGUAAAUUUUGCUGUUUAAUAUAAUUUGAUAAUCUUGUCACUGUAUAGAUGUAAGAUCAUGGAGAACAAAACUGGUAUAUAAAAGUCUUUAACAAUUUAUUGUGACUUGAUUUGUUUUAUGUUUACUUCAAAAGACAGUGAGUAAAAUAUUAGCUCAUAUACAAUCCUAGUGAAGCACAAUAUUUUUGUAUGCUUUGCUGUAGUGUGUCAGUCUGUUCAAAAUUGAAAAUCUUUAUUGACACAGAUUGUAGCGUACAUGUGUCAUUUUUGAGAAAUUAGUGAUAGAAAACAAAUUGCAUUUACAAACACAAUAUCUAAUAAAAUAUGGAUGUCAAAUUAAUUAAUGAUAAGAUUUUCAUAUACAAACACAUAUAUAUUUAU
This is a long non-coding RNA of Limulus polyphemus (Atlantic horseshoe crab), 1576 nucleotides long. RefSeq lists it as uncharacterized. The transcript has 4 exons. The record is from RefSeq and is a predicted model, not a curated record. NCBI's taxonomy places the organism in Eukaryota, Metazoa, Arthropoda, Merostomata, Xiphosura, Limulidae.